GACGAACGCUGGCGGCGUGCUUAACACAUGCAAGUCGAACGCUGAAGCUUGGUGCUUGUACUGGGUGGAUGAGUGGCGAACGGGUGAGUAAUACGUGAGGAACCUGCCCUUGACUCUGGGAUAAGCCUGGGAAACUGGGUCUAAUACUGGAUACGACAUGCCACUGCAUGGUGGUGUGUGGAAAGGUUUUUCCUGGUUUUGGAUGGGUGCACGGCCUAUCAGCUUGUUGGUGGGUGAAUGGCCUACUAAGGCGGCGACGGGUAGCCGGCCUGCGGGGGUGGCCGGCCACACUGGGACUACGACACGGCCCAGAAUCCUACGGGAGGCAGCGGUCGGGAAUAUUGCACAAUGGGCGGAAGCCUGAUGCAGCGACGCCGCGUGAGGGAUGACGGCCUUCGGGUUGUAAACCUCUUUCAGCACGGAAGAAGCGAGAGUGACGGUACGUGCAGAAGAAGCGCCGGCUAACUACGUG
This 472-nucleotide ribosomal RNA is filed under the name uncultured bacterium. RNAcentral's name for it is "partial 16S ribosomal RNA". It matches the Rfam family "Bacterial small subunit ribosomal RNA", at positions 28 to 507 of the family's 1533-position model. The record is from RNAcentral.